GGGGGGGGGGGGGGGGGGGGGGGGGGGGGGGGGGGGGGGGGGGGGGGGGGGGGGGGGGGGGGGGGGGGGGGGGGGGGGGGGGGGGGGGGGGGGGGGGGGGGGGGGGGCCCUUCCCCUUCCCUAAACCCCCUUCCCCUUCCCUAAAUCCCAUUCCCAUUUCCUAAACCCCAUUCCCAUUCCCAUUCCCUAAAUCCCAUUCCCUAAAUCCCCUUCUCUGUCCCCUUUCCAUUCUCCUUCCCCAAACCCCCUUCCCUAAAUUCCAUUCCCUAAAUCCCAUUCCCACUCCCCUUCCUCUUCCCUUUCUCUGUCUCCUUCCCAUUCCCAUUCCCAUUCCCAUUCCCAUUCCCAUUCCCAUUCCCAUCCAUAAAUCCCAUUCCCAAUCCCAUUCCCCUAUUCUCAUUCCCAUUCCUUUUCCCUAAACCCCUCCCCCUUCCCAUUCCCAUUCUCAUUCCCAUUCCCCUUCCCUAAAUCCCCUUGUCCUUCCCCUUCCCAUUCCUAUUACCCUUCCCCAAAUCCCCUUCCCCAAAUCCCAUUCCCCCUCCCCUCCCCUUCCCAUUCCCAUUCCCCUUCCCAUUCCCAUUCCCCUUUUUCCCCAAACACCCUUUCCCUAAAUCCCCUCCGCUCCCAGCUGUCCCUCCCCGCAGCCCUGGAUCCCGUCCCAAAGCCCCCGCUCCGUCCCAGCUGGGCGUCCCCUCUGCAGACGGAGCCCCAGGCGCUGGCCCGGAGCUGCCGCUGGAACGCCGGGAUCCGCCCGGGCCCCGCCGGGGGGGGGGGGGGGGGGGGGGGGGGGGGGGGGGGGGGGGGGGGGGGGGGGGGGGGGGGGGGGGGGGGGGGCCCCGGGCGCUGGCCCGGAGCUGCCGCUGGAACGCCGGGAUCCGCCCGGGACCCGCCCGAGCCCCGAAACGGCGCCAGAGAGGGACCGGAGCUGUGCCCGGGGGGGACACCAGGGCGCCGUCACCUCCUCUGUUUGAGGCUCAGCCCUGGCCCAUUCCUUCAUCCAACCAAGGAUCUGACACGGAAUGAGGGAGGAUCCAGAGUAUCCUUCAUCCAAGCAGAACAGAAAUUUAUCCUCCUGGCACUGGGGAAACCACAGGAAAAUUCCUGCUGGGUUUGGGAUCUCAACCUGUUUUCCUUUAGCUGGUGCAACAUUCCCUUUUCCUUCUGGAUACAUCCAGAAUUUCUGGAAUUUUGACCACGGAGACUCUUCCUUAGAUCCUUGUUGGAGCUGCUGGACCUCAUGGGAGUUGCCUGUGGAUCAUCCUGGGGCACAUCCCAUGGAAAACCUGGAGACAGAAUUCCUUUCUCAUGUUAAAACAAUUCCAUCUUUUCUGUUGUGGUAGCAAGAAGGAAAUCAAAUCCCACGCUCUGGAUUUGCACGUGGAUCCACCAAGAGCUGGAAUUUGCCUUUUAAGAGAUUGGGAAUCCAAUUUUCUCUCUCUUAUUGGUCUUUUCUGCAAUUUGGGAAAUUCCCAGGAAAUGUAACAAAGAGCAGAUUUUGAGGAUAAGGGGUGACUUUAAUUCAUCCCACAGAGCUGGGACAAAACUGAACCUUUCCACAUUUUGGGAAAAAAUCACGGCAACCACACGAAUCCUCAGCAUUUAUGGACAAAAAUCACAUUUCAGAGGAAAUUCCAACCACCAAUCACAGAGUCACAGAAUGAUUAAGGAUAGAAAAGACCUUUUAAUCACCAAACCCACGGGUGCCACAUCCACAGGUUUUCUGGGCACUCCCAGAAAUGGUGAUUCCAUUCAGUGGAAAUGAAGAUUCCAUUCUUUCCAUGAAGAAACUGCUCCUAAUAUCCCAACCUAAUCCACCCCAUGUGCAAUUUGAGGCUGUUUCAAUCUUGGAUUAGGGGGAAAAUUCUGCUCUGUGAGCAGAUUAAUCCGUGUCACUUCAGAGUUUCAUGGAUUUUGGCAACACCAGGCACCAAAUCAUUGAUUUAACAACUCAGUGCAGCUCCCUCUCCCAGAUUUUGGGCUUUUUUCUGGUUUUCCUGGGUGCUUGGAAGGAUGAAUUCAUCCUAAGCAACCCAAACACCUAAAAAAUGAUGAAUCUGUGCUGCCACCUCCCAGAAAAGUCAGCCAGGAGCUUGCAGAUGGGAAUGAUCUCCUGUAUCUUCAGAUCAGUUAACUGUGCAGCAGAACAGAUGGAUGGAUUUUGAUUAAGAAAGUGAAAUUUUGAGAAUUCAGAGUGAGGUGGAGCAAACCAAAACAUUCACCAGCAUCAUUCCCUGGAAUUUCAGAUCUCUCCUCCCCAGACUGUUCUUUUUUUUUUUUUUUUUUUUUUUUAAAGGGGGGGGGGGGGGGGGGGGGGGGGGGGGGGGGGGGGGGGGGGGGGGGGGGGGGGGGGGGGGGGGGGGGGGGGGGGGGGGGGGGGGGGGGGGGGGGGGGGGGGGGGGGG
Ficedula albicollis (Collared flycatcher) is the source of this 2401-nucleotide long non-coding RNA. Lineage: Eukaryota; Metazoa; Chordata; Aves; Passeriformes; Muscicapidae. The record is from Ensembl.